Molecule: unclassified non-coding RNA, 449 nt
Filed under: Trypanosoma minasense
Lineage: Eukaryota; Euglenozoa; Kinetoplastea; Trypanosomatida; Trypanosomatidae
Description: ITS1
Source: RNAcentral
CCGAUGAUUUAUAAUAAAAAAAAAUGGUGCACGCGUGUGUGUGUAUGUCAAUUUGUACGCACACGCGCGCCACCAAUCGCGGGGGGAAGAAUGGGGGAAAAAAGAGAAGUGCUGUAUGUGUGUUGUUGUGUAUUGUCCCAUUGUGGCCGGUACACAUAUACACUAUCUCACUUUCUCUUUGUCCCACAAUAUAUAUAUGUAUAUAUAUAUAUAUGACCGUCAUCCCCUUCGCACUGAAGUGUCACAUAUGUGACGUGUGUGCCUCUCUGCGUAUCCUUUUUUUUUUGGGGACAUGUGUUGUAUCUCAAUUUCUCUGAGAGAGUUCAGGGAAAAAGAGAUAUAACACUGUUGUCAAAAAAAAAAAGAAAAACAGAAGGACGCAAAACAAAGAUCAUGCCGCUUGACUCUGUGUGUGUUAUAUACACACAGCUGUGGAGCACGGCCCCAAC